GAUGAACGCUGGCGGCGUGCCUAAUACAUGCAAGUCGAGCGAACGGACGAGAAGCUUGCUUCUCUGCUGUUAGCGGCGGACGGGUGAGUCACACGUGGCUAACCUACCUAUAAGACUGGGAUACCUUCGGGAAACCGGAGCUAAUACCGGAUAAUAUUUUGAACCGCAUGGUUCAUAAGUGCAAGACGGUCUUGCUGUCCCUUAUAGAUGGAUCCGCGCUGCAUUAGCUAGUUGGUACGGUAACGGCUUACCAAGGCAACGAUGCAUAGCUGACCUGAGAGGAUGAUCCGCCACACUGGAACUGAGACACGGUCCAGACUCCUACGGGAGGCAGCAGUGGGGAAUAUUCGACAAUGGGCGAAAGCCUGAUGCAGCCAUGCCGCGUGUGUGAAGAAGGUCUUCGGAUUGUAAAGCUCUUUAAGUUGGGAGGAAGGGAAGUAAGUUAAUCUGUUGCUGUUUUGACGUUACCAAAAGAAAAAGCACCGGCUAACUUCGUG
This 497-nucleotide ribosomal RNA is filed under the name uncultured bacterium. RNAcentral's name for it is "partial 16S ribosomal RNA". It matches the Rfam family "Bacterial small subunit ribosomal RNA", at positions 28 to 507 of the family's 1533-position model. The record is from RNAcentral.